GCCCUUAUAGCUCAGUGGUAGAGCGCAGCACUUGUAAAUCUUCCUCCUGGAGAUCUUCUGCAAGUUCAUGCUGAGGUCCAUCGUUCAAUCCGGUGUGGGGGCA
This is a non-coding RNA of Daldinia sp. FL1419, 103 nucleotides long. Lineage: Eukaryota; Fungi; Ascomycota; Sordariomycetes; Xylariales; Hypoxylaceae. The record is from the annotation of a GenBank genome assembly.